CGUGGAGGGGCGCUGAGAUGGCGAAGUAAGGAAUGAAGGCCGCGGACACGGCCAUGAAUAUCGGAAGCGAAAACCACUGGCUGCUCUGCUUGCUGAAGGUCAUGACC
Molecule: ribosomal RNA, 107 nt
Filed under: Gonyaulax spinifera
Lineage: Eukaryota; Dinophyceae; Gonyaulacales; Gonyaulacaceae
Description: partial Microsporidia small subunit ribosomal RNA
Source: RNAcentral